AUUGAACGCUGGCGGCAUGCCUUACACAUGCAAGUCGAACGGCAGCACGGGUGCUUGCACCUGGUGGCGAGUGGCGAACGGGUGAGUAAUACAUCGGAACAUGUCCUGUAGUGGGGGAUAGCCCGGCGAAAGCCGGAUUAAUACCGCAUACGAUCUACGGAUGAAAGCGGGGGACCUUCGGGCCUCGCGCUAUAGGGUUGGCCGAUGGCUGAUUAGCUAGUUGGUGGGGUAAAGGCCUACCAAGGCGACGAUCAGUAGCUGGUCUGAGAGGACGACCAGCCACACUGGGACUGAGACACGGCCCAGACUCCAACGGGAGGCAGCAGUGGGGAAUUUUGGACAAUGGGCGAAAGCCUGAUCCAGCAAUGCCGCGUGUGUGAAGAAGGCCUUCGGGUUGUAAAGCACUUUUGUCCGGAAAGAAAUCCUUGGCCCUAAUACGGUCGGGGGAUGACGGUACCGGAAGAAUAAGCACCGGCUAACUACGUG
This 486-nucleotide ribosomal RNA is filed under the name uncultured bacterium. Its description in RNAcentral is "partial 16S ribosomal RNA". It matches the Rfam family "Bacterial small subunit ribosomal RNA", at positions 30 to 507 of the family's 1533-position model. The record is from RNAcentral.